AACUUACUCUCUUUUGGGACGUAGUCGCUUUGGCGGCCUGUUCGAGUGUUACUUUUGUCAACAACAAGUUUGAUUUUUCCUAUAGUCUGAAAAAUCAGACGAGGAAACAACCUUAAUUAAAAGCAGUUGCGACGGUUCUUAAAUACAUGUAUUCAAUGGGACCUAGCAU
RNAcentral lists this ribosomal RNA (169 nucleotides) under Halocafeteria seosinensis. RNAcentral's name for it is "5.8S ribosomal RNA". The record is from RNAcentral. Lineage: Eukaryota; Bigyra; Bicosoecida.